Non-coding RNA from Malus domestica (apple), 772 nucleotides. The record is from RefSeq and is a predicted model, not a curated record. NCBI's taxonomy places the organism in Eukaryota, Viridiplantae, Streptophyta, Magnoliopsida, Rosales, Rosaceae.
UUAGCUAUGUAUUUGCCUUAAUCUGCAUGUGUGUAGUGUAGAUAAUCUUAACCAACAUUAUAGAAUCCAUGUUCUGUUGAAAAUUUUGAAUGUUCUGAGAUGGAAAAGGUUAUGAUAAAUUGGAAGGUAGAAAUUCUAUUAUGAGUUCUCCAGUUGAUUUGGGACGGGUAAUAUAAACUUUUAUGUAAAGUUGAUUUGUUAUUUAUUUAUUUUUUGGAUGCUUAAUUUCAUCCGGAAACAAAUAGUGUUUAUCAUCACCAAGUGUUACAAAGAGUAUUUUAAAGUGUUUUUUAACCAAUCUAUUAUCAAGUUUUUUGGCGGGUUUCUUAUUUCAUUUUCCGUUGUUUUGCAAGAAACCAGAGCCUUUCCAUGCUCAAGAGUUCCACAGGGCCACUCUAUUUAGGGCUUGAAGAUUUCUACAUUCGUUUAUCAUCGACUUCAAGUAUUUCAUUCCAUUGACGACUUAAAGUAAACUGCAACAACACAGUUUGGUUAUGAUUGGGAAAAAUUGGUUGAUUAUCUGCAUAUUUCAUGAGGAUAUAAAUAGGGACUAUCUAUCAAACUUUUGCCUGUAAAUGGUAUGUAUAUACACAUCAAAUAUUAUUUUUUGUAUGUAAGCAAAAUUACAUACAAAAAAUAUUUGUACGGUUAAAGGACAGUUAGGAGUUCAAUUUGUAAAAGAUGCAAAUAUUAGAACAAUGGCAAUAGAACCACCAAUCCAUAUGGUUGUAAAUAGAUUCCUACAUAUAAAUAGUAUUGCAUAUUGUAUGUA